GUCUGCCUAGUAUAGUGGUCAGUACACUUCGUUGUGGUCUUCUCCCGAGGAACUCAUACGGUCCGAAGAAACCCAUGUUCGAUUCAUGGGGCAGACA
Non-coding RNA from Diaporthe sp. PMI_573, 97 nucleotides. The record is from the annotation of a GenBank genome assembly. Lineage: Eukaryota; Fungi; Ascomycota; Sordariomycetes; Diaporthales; Diaporthaceae.